CCUACGGGUGGCAGCAGUGAGGCAUAUUGGUCAAUGGGCGCGAGCCUGAACCAGCCAAGUCGCGUGAGGGAAGACGGUCCUAUGGAUUGUAAACCUCUUUUGUCGGGGAGCAAAAGACGCCACGCGUGGCGUUCCGAGAGUACCCGAAGAAAAAGCAUCGGCUAACUCAGUGCCAGCAGCCGCGGUAAUACGGAGGAUGCGAGCGUUAUCCGGAUUUAUUGGGUUUAAAGGGUGCGCAGACGGACGAUCAAGUCAGCGGUAAAAUUGAGAGGCUCAACCUCUUCGAGCCGUUGAAACUGGUUGUCUUGAGUGAGUGAGAAGUAUGCGGAAUGCGUGGUGUCGCGGUGAAAUGCAUAGAUAUCACGCAGAACUCCGAUUGCGAAGGCAGCAUACCGGCGCUCAACUGACGCUCAUGCACGAAAGUGUGGGUAUCGAACAGGAUUAGAUACCCCAGUAGUC
Molecule: ribosomal RNA, 459 nt
Filed under: uncultured bacterium
Lineage: Bacteria
Description: partial 16S ribosomal RNA
Rfam family: Bacterial small subunit ribosomal RNA
Source: RNAcentral